AGUGAACGCUGGCGGUAGGCCUAACACAUGCAAGUCGAACGGCAGCACAGUAAGAGCUUGCUCUUACGGGUGGCGAGUGGCGGACGGGUGAGGAAUACAUCGGAAUCUACUUUUUCGUGGGGGAUAACGUAGGGAAACUUACGCUAAUACCGCAUACGACCUACGGGUGAAAGCAGGGGAUCUUCGGACCUUGCGCGAUUGAAUGAGCCGAUGUCGGAUUAGCUAGUUGGCGGGGUAAAGGCCCACCAAGGCGACGAUCCGUAGCUGGUCUGAGAGGGUGAUCAGCCACACUGGAACUGAGACACGGUCCAGACUCCUACGGGAGGCAGCAGUGGGGAAUCUUGGACAAUGGGCGCAAGCCUGAUCCAGCCAUACCGCGUGGGAGAAGAAGGCCUUCGGGUUGUAAAGCCCUUUUGUUGGGAAAGAAAAGCAGCAGGUUAAUACCCCGCUGUUCUGACGGUACCCAAAGAAUAAGCACCGGCUAACUUCGUG
RNAcentral lists this ribosomal RNA (492 nucleotides) under uncultured bacterium. Its description in RNAcentral is "partial 16S ribosomal RNA". It matches the Rfam family "Bacterial small subunit ribosomal RNA", at positions 29 to 507 of the family's 1533-position model. The record is from RNAcentral.